AAGUGAAUCUAGCCUUGACAUCUGUCAGCAGGGUUGAUUUGGCUGAUCUGGGUGUCUAGUCGGGUAUUCCCUUUCCUUUUCAUUGUCCCAUGAAACCAGAUAUUUGGUCAAAAAGGAUGACCUUCCCCAAUAGAGGGAGACUUAUCUUUGGUCUAGGUAUAGCUGUGAUCAUUUGCUAGAACCUGCAAAUAAGUUUUCAAAGCCAGAUAAAGAAUUUAGACUCACAUUUGAGAAGAGCAUUCAUAUUAU
This 249-nucleotide small RNA is filed under the name Peromyscus maniculatus bairdii (prairie deer mouse). Its description in RNAcentral is "7SK RNA (ENSPEMG00000002442.2)". It matches the Rfam family "7SK RNA". From Rfam's summary of the family: 7SK was discovered as an abundant small nuclear RNA in the mid-70s but a possible function has only recently been suggested. Two independent studies have found that 7SK RNA binds the CDK9/cyclin T complex (known as elongation factor P-TEFb). Lineage: Eukaryota; Metazoa; Chordata; Mammalia; Rodentia; Cricetidae. The record is from RNAcentral.